UACGUAGGGGGCGAGCGUUGUCCGGAUUUAUUGGGCGUAAAGAGCUCGUAGGCGGUUGGGUAAGUCGGGUGUGAAAACUCAGGGCUCAACUCUGAGACGCCACUCGAUACUGCCCUGACUCGAGUCCGGAAGAGGAGAGUGGAAUUCCUGGUGUAGCGGUGAAAUGCGCAGAUAUCAGGAGGAACACCCGUGGCGAAAGCGUCUCUCUGGGACGGUACUGACGCUGAGACGCGAAAGCGUGGGGAGCAAACAGG
This 254-nucleotide ribosomal RNA is filed under the name uncultured bacterium. RNAcentral describes it as "partial 16S ribosomal RNA". It matches the Rfam family "Bacterial small subunit ribosomal RNA", at positions 524 to 776 of the family's 1533-position model. The record is from RNAcentral.